RNAcentral lists this ribosomal RNA (451 nucleotides) under uncultured bacterium. RNAcentral describes it as "partial 16S ribosomal RNA". It matches the Rfam family "Bacterial small subunit ribosomal RNA", at positions 29 to 523 of the family's 1533-position model. The record is from RNAcentral.
AACGAACGCUGGCGGCAUGCCUAACACAUGCAAGUCGAACGCCUGUAGCAAUACAGGAGUGGCAGACGGGUGCAAAACGCGUGGAAACCUAUCCUUGGGUUCGGAAUAACCGCGGGAAACUGCGGCUAAUCCCGGAUACGUCCUUCGGGGGAAAGAUUUAUCGCCCAUUGAGGGGUCCGCGUCUGAUUAGCUAGUUGGUGAGGUAAUGGCUCACCAAGGCGACGAUCAGUAGCUGGUCUGAGAGGAUGAUCAGCCACACUGGAACUGAGACACGGUCCAGACUCCUACGGGAGGCAGCAGUGGGGAAUAUUGGACAAUGGGCGCAAGCCUGAUCCAGCAAUGCCGCGUGGGUGAUGAAGGCCUUCGGGUUGUAAAGCCCUUUUGGCGGGGACGAUGAUGACGGUACCCGCCGAAUAAGCUCCGGCUAACUUCGUGCCAGCCGCCGCAGUAA